GCAUUUUGAAGACACCAUCAUCAGACUCUUUUUCAGCCAGCUCAUGGACCUGAUAGAUUUAUGUUGGAUGGACAAUUAAAUAAAAGAAUAAUGAUCACUGAUAUGAAAAGAAAGAGGGAACAUAUGCAAACAUCAGAACCAGCUGAAUUUAUCAAACAUAAGACCAUAAGGUAAUAUGGUAUGCUGAAAGACAUGUAUAUAAAUCUCAACAAGUGUUUCUGUAUUUAUUGUAUUAAAAAUAAAGCUACAUAUAAAAUUUUAACUGCUGUCAACUCUUUUAUUUUUAUGUGUUGCACUUGGAAUCUGAUGAAUCCUCAUGUUGUGUUCACUGUUCAGCACAUAAUGUU
Molecule: unclassified non-coding RNA, 347 nt
Filed under: Hevea brasiliensis (rubber tree)
Lineage: Eukaryota; Viridiplantae; Streptophyta; Magnoliopsida; Malpighiales; Euphorbiaceae
Source: RNAcentral